Molecule: ribosomal RNA, 279 nt
Filed under: uncultured Staphylococcus sp.
Lineage: Bacteria; Bacillati; Bacillota; Bacilli; Caryophanales; Staphylococcaceae
Description: partial 16S ribosomal RNA
Rfam family: Bacterial small subunit ribosomal RNA
Source: RNAcentral
CCUUUGGCGUUAGCGGCGGACGGGUGAGUAACACGUGGGUAACCUACCUAUAAGACUGGGAUAACUUCGGGAAACCGGAGCUAAUACCGGAUAAUAUUUCGAACCGCAUGGUUCGAUAGUGAAAGGUGGUUUUGCUAUCACUUAUAGAUGGACCCGCGCCGUAUUAGCUAGUUGGUAAGGUAACGGCUUACCAAGGCGACGAUACGUAGCCGACCUGAGAGGGUGAUCGGCCACACUGGAACUGAGACACGGUCCAGACUCCUACGGGAGGCAGCAGCU